CAGCAGAUGUGUUCCUUCGAUUAUAAAUAAGGAAUCCAUCCGUAUAAAAAUUGCCAGCGGGGUCUGCUGCAACAUCAUGGAUUUCUGCUCAUAUUACUGUGUCAAUAUGAUCCGGUGAUGGGGUUUGAAUGUUUCAUGAAGGAAGAGAUGUAUGUGCACAUGUUGUAUUCCUCAUUUAUGGAACUCAAUUUUAUAUAUACCUGCAUAUAAAGUUGUUUUGUUAAAAGCUUUGCUGGGUUGUGAAUUAAACUAAUAUAUAUAUGUGUAUAAUGCAAAUGCAUAAUCUGUGUUAUUGAAAUUCUCUCUUGUUGA
Solanum pennellii is the source of this 312-nucleotide long non-coding RNA. RefSeq lists it as uncharacterized. Lineage: Eukaryota; Viridiplantae; Streptophyta; Magnoliopsida; Solanales; Solanaceae. The record is from RefSeq and is a predicted model, not a curated record. The transcript is spliced from 2 exons.